GGCGGCGGCGGGGAAGGCGAAAGCAAGAGGCCCCGGUCCCUCUUUCUCGCUACUUCUCUUCCUCCUCCUCCUCCUCCUCCUUCCUCUCUCGCUCCCGCAGAGACGGCGAAACCAGCUGAGCCUCGGGAGCAGGCGAAGGGCGUCCGCGGCGUCCGCGCACCGGGGCUAAUCUGUGUCGGGGGAGCCUGGCUCUCUCUUAGCUCUCUCUUUCUCUCUCUCUUUGCCACGUCACGGCCGCCCCGGCUCCAACGCGGACAAAAUCGCGUCACGCCCGCCACAUCCUCACCGCGGCACCACCCACACGAACCUCGAGCAGGCCUCACGACACGCAGGAAGACUACGGCUCCCAGGCCGCCUCUCGCCGCCGCAGCCUUGGCGAGUCUGGUUUUCGGCUCGCGAGGCACGAUGGGAAACGUAGUCCUCAAGAGGCUCGGCUGCUUGCCCCUCUGGAAGGAGAGUUUGUAUGUGUGAGAGAGAGGCGCAGGGAGUGCUGGGAAGUGUAGUAGUCUCCCCUCCCUUUCUUCCCCCUUAUAUCGGCUUCCCCUCUGCCGUCUCUGCAGCAGGGCGUGCUGGGAGUCAUUGUCACCUCGUGCUGAGCUUGAGGCCUAGCCCCUUCGUGUGGAUGGUUAGAGAGCAAAGGUGCAGGGAGGAGUCCUAUGAGACUGUACUUGUCGCUGGAAGUGGUACAGCAGAUUUACCACUGCACCAGCCGCUUGUGAGACUUGUCCAGACUAUACUAGAAGGAACUGGUAAUGUCACAUUAAAUCAAAUCCUGGAUCUCCAAAUCUCUUCUUCCCUCAAAAGUAAUUCUUGCUCAUCUGGAAGGAUUAAUGACACAGACACAUCCUUUCCCCCCCUCUUAUAUAUUUCUGUAGUUAAUCAUGUUAUUUCUCAUGAAGGAGAAGAUCGUAAUGAUUUUAGAUUGCCUGCAUUUGAGAGAGUGGUGCCUGUUCACCUUUCAACUCAAGAUCCUGUUUAUAAUUAUUUCCUUGGAAUUUUGAAGGAGACAUAUUCCUACAUAAUGAAAACAACUCCAGCUGGCAGUUGACAGGUGGAGGCAGAGUUCAAGGCAAGAAUGCUGCUACCACAGCACAGAAAGACACUUAUCAUUCCUCUCCAGGUAUUGCUCUUCAGUGUCUGGUAUGUCCACAUAAAAGUUCCCUUCAACUUUUUAAACGCUUUUCUUAAUAACUUAAUUUUGAUACAGUUUAAGUUUCAUAAAGACUUUAGAAACGACCAACUGUUCAUUAUUGUAAAAUAAGUAUUUCUUAUGUCACCCUUUAC
Molecule: long non-coding RNA, 1284 nt
Filed under: Podarcis muralis (Common wall lizard)
Lineage: Eukaryota; Metazoa; Chordata; Lepidosauria; Squamata; Lacertidae
Description: lncRNA (ENSPMRG00000007889.1)
Source: RNAcentral